Ictalurus punctatus (channel catfish) is the source of this 630-nucleotide long non-coding RNA. The record is from Ensembl. Lineage: Eukaryota; Metazoa; Chordata; Actinopteri; Siluriformes; Ictaluridae.
GCUAGAACAACUUCUCAGGGGGGUAAGUCUGGCAGGCGAACCUGCCCUGCCGUUUACCCACUACUACAGGCAAAUUCAUGCAGAGCUCAACUCUGAAAUCCAAGUCAAGCCUCCAGUCCCCGAAAUCCCAGUCAAGCCUCCAGUCCCUGAAAUCCAAGUCAAGUCUCAAGUCCCUAAGGUCCAAGUCCAAGUCAAGUCUCAAGUCCCUGAGGUCCAAGUCAAGUCUCCAGUCCCUGAAAUCCAAGUCAAGUCUCAAGUCCCUAAGGUCCAAGUCAAGCCUCCAGUCAGUGAGGUCCAAGUCAAGCCUCCAGGCUCUGAAGUCCAAGUCAAGCCUCCAGUCUCUGAAGUCCAAGUCAAGUCUCAAGUCCCUGAAAUCCAAGUCCAAGUCAAGCCUCCAGGCUCUGAAGUCCAAGUCAAGCCUCCAGGCUCUGAAGUCCAAGCCAAGCCUCCAGGCUCUGACGUCCAGGCCAAGUCUCACGUCCCUGAGGUCCAAGUCAAGUCUCACGUCCCUGAGCUCAGGUUCAAGCCUGCUGAUCCAGUUGACCAAGCUCUGCUAAUAUCUAAGCCUAAUGACCAAGUUCUGCUCACCCCCCAGUCUGCUGACACGCCCAGCCAAGUUCUGCUCAUGCC